UAACGCGUGAGUAACCUGCCUUUCAGAGGGGGAUAACGUCCUGAAAAGAACGCUAAUACCGCAUAAGAUUGUAGCUUCGCAUGGAGCAGCAAUCAAAGGAGCAAUCCGCUGAAAGAUGGACUCGCGUCCGAUUAGAUAGUUGGCGGGGUAACGGCCCACCAAGUCGACGAUCGGUAGCCGGACUGAGAGGUUGAUCGGCCACAUUGGGACUGAGACACGGCCCAG
This 225-nucleotide ribosomal RNA is filed under the name uncultured bacterium. RNAcentral's name for it is "partial 16S ribosomal RNA". It matches the Rfam family "Bacterial small subunit ribosomal RNA", at positions 111 to 334 of the family's 1533-position model. The record is from RNAcentral.